UACUUGUUUUGUAAACAAAUCCUUUUACUCUCCUUUUUAGAGAAGAAAAUAAUUAUGAGCAGGUGAAGGUUAAAAUUGAGGUCCUCCAUUUUAACAAGAAGUCCAGCAGUUUCGUGAGUUAUAUCUCAUUAAAGUGGGUAUUAUAAAUUUGCCUCAAUCAACAGCUCAAAGGGUAUUUUUAUUUUCUCAAUAAAUAUUAGUUCCUUAUGAUAGAGUAAAGCAGGUGCAAGAGUGAGGGAAUUAGUUGGCCAGGUGAACUACUGGUCCAGAGAGCAAGACGGAAGAUUGUGCUUCUUUGCAAAUGACUCUAGGUAGGGAAAUCCUCUACAAAAUCUUAACACCUUCUCAACUGGUAAGAAUACUUAGCUAAGCAAUGAAGAUGAGUAACGCAAAGCUGCCAUAUGGCAUACUGAGUAGUUUGAGGAAAAGGAAUCCUAUUACCCUAUUAAAAAAAAAAAAAAAAGUUUGUGUUAAAUCCCACUCCUCAAAUUGCUGUCUGAUUCUGGUGAUGUGCUGGCUUGUAUUUUCUAUUAUAUCCCCUCCCUCUAAAAGGAGCUAUCAGUAUGAAGUUGUGGAAGGGGUGUCACAAAACCUCUUCUAAGCACAGAUACAAAUGAUUUUUCUUUGGUACUUCAUUUUCACAAUUCCAUGCCCUGAGGCUGAUACGAAAGAUUGGAAUAAACCUCAUCAAUGUCAUAAUAUUUUUUACUGACAAAACUGUUAAACUUAGAGGACACAUAUCCUACAGAACACCUCAUAUCCCACAGAAGACUUCACAAAUCCCAUGUUUGGUCUGAUGUGAGGCCAAGGCUUUUGUCUUCUAAAUGCAAAACAAUGACAAGUAGUACACACAUCCUCUGAAACACAUAAUGGAAUUACACAAAAAUAAAAAAAUUAAUGUGUUACAGCAGAAAUAAAUGUAAUGAGGGCUUAGAUGGGCAUAAGCAAAAAAAAAUGCCAACUGUAUUUUUUUGUUGAUAUAACUAAACUUUUAUUAUUUUGAAAUACAUCAGAGGUUUUAUGUAAAGAAAUCAUGAGACAUAGCAUUUAUAGGGCUGUAGGUCAAAGUCAGUUUUUAAUUCAGAGUGUGAUUUUUAGACGUUGCCUGUUUGACUUUUCAAGAACUCAUCAUCCAGCUUUUGUGCCAUGACAGUACUAAAAGGUUUGGUGAUGCCAGCACCACAAGAUGGUGCUGAUGGCUGGCUGUCUGGACCUGUUAUUUGGCUAUGCCGGAGAUCAGACAUGAGGAGUUCUUAUGCAGUCAGGCAUGCAAACUAUGCAUACUCAAGAAGAGAUCAGCCAGAGGCCUUUAUUACCUAUGAGACCUUGACCACAUGAGCACUGAGGAGAAAUUGCCAGGCAGACUUUGGAAGCAGAACUAUAAACCGUAACUUGAUGAGUCUAGAAGAUCCUGAAUAUUGGCUCCAACUCAGGAGACUUAGAGAGAAGACAAAGUCCUAGCCGGACAUAAGGAAAGGCUGUUUCACCAUGACAAUGACCACGCACUGGCACGGGUGCCCAGGAACACUGUGGAGUCCCCAUCUUCAGAGACUUUCAAAAUCCAGCUGGACAAAGCCCUGUGUUACGGAAGUGAAGAAAGCACUUGAGUCACCACCAAGAAAAGAAAAACAACCUAAGAGGAAAAGACCACCUACAGCGGAUGAGGGGCCAGACACCUGCCUUUAAUUGAGUGCCUAAAGAAAACAGUAUAUGGCCACCCUUUAAUUUCUAAUGAGUUUUGACUUGCUUUGACACAAGCUAUGUGAACUGCCAUAUGUGCUGUUAGUUGACAGGGAGAAGGAAAUUCUUAUGCUAAAGUAUUUUGUGAUCUGUGCAGACUUGAAGCAUGGUCCAAAAAUGUGAAAAUGAGAAUAAAAUCCUACCUGGCUGAACAUAAAAUGGGAGAAUGUACUGUACAGGAUACACUGGACAGGAAUACUAAUCCUGUUGAUUGGAGGGCAAUAGUAUAAGGGUCUUUGUCACUAAACUCUUCAUUCUGCGUCUUUCUCCUCUUUCCUGAAGCUAAUGAGGGAGAGAUAGUGAUUUUAUGAUUGAAUAUGGAAAAAUACAUUACUUGUUUACCUGCUUGGAGCCAGAGGAAAAAUGGAUGCAAGAUUAGAAAAAGUCAGCCUUAGUCCUGAUUUAUUUUUCUUUUAACUCAGGCUGCCUACCUUCAUUGUUUCCUACAUCAUCGUGUUUUCAACACUUUCUCCUGAAGAGUUUAUCCUAAAUAUACUGUGGCCAAGAUCCCAGCCCACUUUGCAUUCCUGCCUUUCUGUCACUGCUAGAAAUAUUACUGCUCUUCUAUCCUACUGAAUUAGAAAAAAGAUGACAUCUCUGACUGCUUUCUCCAUCACCUCACACAUCUAACUCUUCUUGACUCUCCUCUCAAGCUAUUUCCAAGAUCUUGUUCCACUGCUCAAACAGCUUUUCCCUCAUCCCUCAUCUCUCCCCAUCACAGCCUACUCUCUUCUUCUUGAAUGCACAAGUGCACAUGCACUUUCUGCCAAAACCAUCUUCAUAGCUGCUCAUUUUGACUGUCAAACCUGCCUCCUCAGGCCAUUCAUCGCCUUCCCCUUCACUACCUGAUCUGCUCAAGCUCUUACUGAGAGCCAGGGAGGCCUCUCAGCUCUGUGCUCCUGCCCUCCUCCCACGGAGUCCCCCUCUUGCCGUACAUGCGAAUAGCCCUUAUAGCUGCCUCUUGCACCAGCUUGAGUGUUGCCAUUACUGCUGUGCUUCUGCACAAGUCAUAAUGUUUUUACACUACUGUACAAAAGCCAUGUUCUUGUCCUCCUCUAAUGGGACUAAGUAAUAGCUUGAUGAACACUGCCAGUAUGUGGUCUACUAAUUAAAUUAUUUUAUACAGUUUGAAGAGUAUAUUACCUUUUAAGCCAGUGCCAUCACAUAGUUCAGACAGUCAGCCUGCUUAUUCAUAUUAACACCAUUACUUCACUCAAGGGCCUUUUCCAGUCCUUUCUGCUAUAACUGUACAUUUGCCAUCACAAUCUUGGAAAUCUUUUUGUGUUAUUUUAUUCUUGCUGUUAAUGUUCUGCAGUGUCUGUUAUGGGUAUCUUGAGACAAAGAUAGAGAGAUGCAGCUCCUGAGAGAGGAAACCAAGACUCUAGAGUGAGCAUAGCUCAGAGAGAAAACUUACCAUCAGUUAAUUGACUUUAGGCCAGUUAUGGAUCUAUUUCCUUAGCAGCUUAUUUUGUAAAUCCAAAAUCCAUGAAAGGCUACAAGCUUUGAUUUGAUACAAGGAUUUUUAAACCCAGAAAAUUAUGUUAUUUUAUCAUAAUUGAUGCUUACAGCCUUUUGUUAAAUUGCUUUGGACUUACUCCAGAGAACAAAUAAUGUCAGCUGUUUUUUGUACAUUUUGCCUUACAUAAGAAGGGUCUUGGCUAAAUGCUGUCAUGACAUUUCUGGUCUAAAACUGUUCUUCCUUUAAAUCAGAACCCAUCAGAUCAUAACAGUCUGGGAUCAGGAUGAGGAACAAAAGUAGCCCUAGUUAUGUGUAAUUUUAGAUCUAUAACAGUCACCAGAUGACUCACUAGUGUGUUGGCAAUGCUGAGUUAAAAAAUAAAGCCCUCAGUCCUUCAAUUACAGCUGUUUGGGAAGAUCCCUUGGAUUGUACAAAGUUGCACUGGAGAAAUUGUUCUUGGUAUAUAUUUAGGUGUAAAUUAAAGAGUAGUUCAUUUAAGGCUAAUGUUUGAGUCUAUUUCCAUACAAGGUGAGAAAUAUGAGCUUAGGUUUUUAGAGUGCUUUGUAUUUGCAAGCUGCUCUCAUAAAGGUAAUUAGUUUGCAAGAGAUCUCUAGUGUGCUUGAUAUGAGAGACACAAACAGGUCUUUCAUCAUGCUCAUUAUACAAGAGAAAUCUUUAUAUCAAGUACUGACUGAUAAUGUUAAUAGCUAUGAUAAAACACAGUAUAAUGAGAAGUGCCUUCCAAUGAACUACAGUAAAUCAUGCAAAGCAAUUCACUUAAAAGGGCUAUUCUGAAUCCUUUCAUUAUACUUUUACAAAGUAACAUCAUCGCAAGUUGGAUUUUGUAGUAAGCGUACAGUGCAAGAGGCCUCGAGAAGGAGGAAAAUUGGGCUUUGCAUUUUGCUAGUUGAAGACUGCUUAAUCUUAGAGAACUUCCCAUCCAUGGGCAGAGAUAUCAUUUUACAAAGACUAUUGUAUGAGAACAAAUGCAAAGGUUUUUAGAUAGACCUCUAUGUAGCAGGGAUGCCAGACACUAUUUUCUUCUCAUCUUACAGCAUUAAAAGAUGAUGUAAAACAGGAUGUAAAUGAUCUUGCAUUUUAUGAACAGACUAGAAGGUAAUUUUAUUUAAAGAGGAAGCAUUAUUUUGAGAACAAAGGGUAGAUUCUUAAGAGUUACAUGCAAGGUUGGUCUAAUUAAAAGGAAAAAUAUUUUUAUGUUAUCUUUAGUUUGAUUCUUUGAUAUUUUUUUAAUAAAACAUCAGGUUCUUCUGCUGCUGCUUUAGGAAUUGGAGAACAGUCACCCACCAUUUGUUGUAAGAGUAAAAUUGAACAGAAAAGAGUUUGCAGGUUCCAGGGUAAGAGCAGAAUUAUAAAGGAGAGAGCUUGUAGGACAGGUUCACAAAUACAAAGUUUUCUCAUUUUUGUUUCCAUGAGACAGUCAUGAAGAUGGAAAAUACUUUUGAAAUGCAUUCCAUACACUGAAAAAAUAGCAAAAGGGGUUCAGGGCAGAUGAGUUGCAAUGAAUCAAAGUCCAGUGAACUCAACGGAGAGACUGCUGCUGACUUCAGCAGAAUUAUUGUUGUAAUUUGGUUUAGAUUAAUUUCACAUUUCAUUUUUAUUUAUUCUAAUUUUUUAACUAUGAUGUACAUUUUAAAUCAAUAAAUAUAAAUAUUGCUAUUUUUUAAAAAA
Molecule: long non-coding RNA, 4888 nt
Organism: Columba livia (rock pigeon)
Lineage: Eukaryota; Metazoa; Chordata; Aves; Columbiformes; Columbidae
Exons: 3
Source: RefSeq, a predicted model, not a curated record